This 466-nucleotide ribosomal RNA is filed under the name uncultured bacterium. Its description in RNAcentral is "partial 16S ribosomal RNA". It matches the Rfam family "Bacterial small subunit ribosomal RNA", at positions 28 to 507 of the family's 1533-position model. The record is from RNAcentral.
GAUGAACGCUGGCGGCGUGCUUAACACAUGCAAGUCGAACGAUGAAGCCCAGCUUGCUGGGCGGAUUAGUGGCGAACGGGUGAGUAACACGUGAGUAACCUGCCCUUAACUCUGGGAUAAGCCUGGGAAACUGGGUCUAAUACCGGAUAGGAGCGCCUACCGCAUGGUGGGUGUUGGAAAGAUUUAUCGGUUUUGGAUGGACUCGCGGCCUAUCAGCUUGUUGGUGAGGUAAUGGCUCACCAAGGCGACGACGGGUAGCCGGCCUGAGAGGGUGACCGGCCACACUGGGACUGAGACACGGCCCAGACUCCUACGGGAGGCAGCAGUGGGGAAUAUUGCACAAUGGGCGAAAGCCUGAUGCAGCGACGCCGCGUGAGGGAUGACGGCCUUCGGGUUGUAAACCUCUUUCAGUAGGGAAGAAGCGAAAGUGACGGUACCUGCAGAAGAAGCACCGGCUAACUACGUG